This is a non-coding RNA of Podarcis lilfordi (Lilford's wall lizard), 127 nucleotides long. The record is from the annotation of a GenBank genome assembly. Lineage: Eukaryota; Metazoa; Chordata; Lepidosauria; Squamata; Lacertidae.
GAAGUAUUUUCUGAACCAACCCUUCUCUUUCAGUCAUGAUUAAACCGCCUCUUUUUCGUUGAAAGCAAACGAAAAAGAGGCGGUUUAAUCAUGACUGAAAGAGAAGGGUUGGUUCAGAAAAUACUUC